Molecule: long non-coding RNA, 1805 nt
Organism: Ostrea edulis (European flat oyster)
Lineage: Eukaryota; Metazoa; Mollusca; Bivalvia; Ostreida; Ostreidae
Exons: 2
Source: RefSeq, a predicted model, not a curated record
UGACAGUCUGUAAAAAUGUUUCAUUCAUUUUUUUUCCACUGUGUAGAUUUUUAGGUCUUUAUGUUGAUCUCAAAUUUUCCAUGCUAAUGUACAUAUCCUGAACAGUUAUGUUUAGUGAAUGAUUUUGGUUCAACUGGAGAAAUCUUUUGCAAGAGUCUUAGUUUUCCUCUCAAUUAAGACAUAAAUAAGCACAUUUAUAACUGAAUAAAUACAUAUUUUUAAGGAAUAAAGUCUAGUUUGUAUUUAUGGGGGCAUACAAAAGGUCCUCAACACGAACGACCUUACAUUUAUUCCUUAUUUUGUUUUGCAAUUUAUGUACAUAGUACUUAUCAAGUUGAAAAGGGCAAUGCUUUUACUAAAAAAACAAUAAUACUUUGCAAUUGCAUAGAUUUACUACCAAAAAUAAUGAAAAUAUGACUGAAUCCUGUAAAUAUUUAUCCUCUUACAACUCCCAGAUGUAUUAUAACUGAAUAUGCUUCUUGAAUCAUAAUUGAAUCCAGUAAGAUAUUUUCUUUCUGUGAUGACUUAGAUAUAUCAUUACCAGGGGCGGAUCCAGGAAUUGUGGUUACGGGGGGGGGGGGGGGGGGGGGGGGGGGGGGGGGGGGGGCGCGCACUUUAAGAGGCAGGGGGUCUGCUUGAGGUAAGGGACCAGGGGGCUUUGCCCCCGAAAGCUCCUGGAUUUUACAUAUUUUAUAGGGCUUGAAAUAUGUCUCCUAUUUAAGUCAUUUGUACUAUUUUCUACCAUUUCUAAUAAGGGCUGUUCCAGAAAUGAUCAAAUGGGGGGGUCGGGCGGCAAACGAAAUUUUUUUGUGUGGGUGGUCGUAUUUUUUCAUAUUUUAAUUGGUCCGUGGUUGGACUGUUAAAAAAAUAUUUAUUAUGGGUAGUGGGUAGUUUCUAUUGUUUUAUUUUGUGCCACGUGGGUGUUGAGUUUUCAGAAUAUUUUUAUUGUCGCUCUUGUCGUGUUGGUUACAAAACGUCGGAGGGAAAAUUGAAAACGUGCUUUCGAAAUGCUGCUUUCGAAAUCGGAAAUCGGAAGUAACAUAGAACUAUUCAAGUUGUAUUCCGUUUUCUAAUAAAAAUAGGCAAACCUUAGUUGACUUAUACGAGGAUACUGAUGCGUUAUAUUUAUCAGUCGGUGUGAUGGUGAUAUAGAGGCCUCCGGGCGCGGGCUCCAUUAGAAGACGAACGAUUCGUGGAAAAACAUAUCCAUACCCAUUUCAUGAUAAUAGCAUCGUUUGGACUCCCAAUCUUUCCAACAUUCCCGCCAUAGAUGCCUUUGAUUGUUGAUGUGACAUCGUUUCUUCAGAACUACUGUGAUACAAUGUCGCACAGGCAUUACCGCGUCAUUGACUAGAAUGUUUGUCCCGAAAACCUCGCGAGAUUUGUACCGUUUUCAUUUUUUAAAAUAUUUUUGUGGUGGGUCUGGUUAGUUUUUUUUUUUUUUAUUAGAUGGGUCAUUGUAAAAUGAGUUUAUUAAUUUGAUGGGUCAUGGGGUAAUUUUUUAUUUUUUUUUAUGGGUGCUUGGUAUAUACAAAAGGUGCCUCCCGACCCCCCCAUGUAUUUAUUUCUGGAAUAGCCCUAAGGUGAAAUUAGUAACAUGACGCAAAUUUUAAGGGUUUUAGGAAAAAAUUAAGCUCUCCCAAUUAAGUAAUUCAAGAAAUCAAAAGAUUUUGUCAUUUAUUUCUCCGAGAGUGGAAGAAAUUAUUGCUUCUUUUGUUUAGUACAUUUAUCUAAACAAGAUACCACGAUUUACCUUAAAUUUGACAAUUUUAGGGGGGGAAAGGGGGAAGCCCCCCCCCCCCCCC